RNAcentral lists this ribosomal RNA (253 nucleotides) under uncultured bacterium. RNAcentral's name for it is "partial 16S ribosomal RNA". It matches the Rfam family "Bacterial small subunit ribosomal RNA", at positions 524 to 776 of the family's 1533-position model. The record is from RNAcentral.
UACGUAGGCAGCAAGCGUUGUUCGGAGUUACUGGGCGUAAAGGGUGUGUAGGCGGUUUUCUAAGUCUGGUGUGAAAUCUCCCGGCUCAACUGGGAGGGUGCGCCGAAAACUGGAAGGCUAGAGUGCGGGAUGGGAGAGUGGAAUUCCUGGUGUAGCGGUGAAAUGCGUAGAUAUCAGGAAGAACACCAAUGGCGAAAGCAGCUUUCUGGGACGGUACUGACGCUGAGACGCGAAAGCGUGGGGAGCGAACAGG